AUGGUGGCUCUGAACUCACUUCCGCACACUUGGAAACAGUUUAAAAUAUCAUUUUGUCACUCUGAAAGAUUACUGAACACGCGCAAUUUGAGGCAUCAUUUGAUCAUGGAGGAAGAUAGGAAAACUUCACAAGGGAAAGGGAGACACUCACAUCAUCAGGAGUUGCACCUUGAUCAAGAUAGGAGGCGUUGGCAGAAGAAGCAUCAAGGAGGUGAUUUGAGGGACAAAAUCAAUAGGAAGAGAAACUGGGGUGAUCAUAAUGGAAGAGGUCCAAACUCUAGUUUUGAUAAGAGGAAAUUUAGAUGUCAUGGUUGUGGAGAUUAUGGGCACUUUAGACCAGAGUGGAAGAAUAAGAAGCCUUAUAAACAAGAUGACAAGUCGAAGAAGCAGCACUAG
This 396-nucleotide ribosomal RNA is filed under the name Triticum aestivum (bread wheat). RNAcentral's name for it is "partial small subunit ribosomal RNA". The record is from RNAcentral. Lineage: Eukaryota; Viridiplantae; Streptophyta; Magnoliopsida; Poales; Poaceae.